This 373-nucleotide ribosomal RNA is filed under the name Rhipicephalus sanguineus (brown dog tick). Its description in RNAcentral is "partial 12S ribosomal RNA". The record is from RNAcentral. Lineage: Eukaryota; Metazoa; Arthropoda; Arachnida; Ixodida; Ixodidae.
AAACUAGGAUUAGAUACCCUAUUAUUUAAGAGCUAACAUUGUAAGUAAAUAAUAAUUAUGAAAGCAAAAAAUUAUGGCGGUAUUUUAAGCUUUCAGAGGAAUUUGCACUUAAUGGAUAAAACACCAAAUCUUACUAGAUUGUGAUUUCAAUUUGUAUACCACUAUUAAAACAAUUUAUAACUUUAAUUGUUUAAAUUUACAAAACUAAAAUAUAUUAAGUCAAGGUGCAGUAAAAAUUUAGGAUGAAGUGAAUUACAUUACUUUUUAGUGAGAUAAGUUUAUAACAAUAUUUAGGAUUUGAAAGUAAAAUUAAAAUAGGAUGUUAAUUUUAAUUAGACUCUAAAAUAUGUACACAUCGCCCGUCGCUCUCAUU